This 627-nucleotide ribosomal RNA is filed under the name uncultured bacterium. RNAcentral describes it as "bacterial SSU rRNA". It matches the Rfam family "Bacterial small subunit ribosomal RNA", at positions 222 to 864 of the family's 1533-position model. The record is from RNAcentral.
GGGAGGGGCCCGCGGCCUAUCAGGUAGUUGGUGAGGUAACGGCUCACCAAGCCGACGACGGGUAGGGGGCGUGAGAGCGUGGCCCCCCACACGGGAACUGAGACACGGUCCCGACGCCUACGGGCGGCAGCAGUGAGGAAUCUUGCCCAAUGGGGGAAACCCUGAGGCAGCGACACCGCGUGCGGGAUGAAGGCCUUCGGGUCGUAAACCGCUUUUCUGGGGGACGAGUAAGGACGGUACUCCAGGAAUAAGUCCCGGCUAACUACGUGCCAGCAGCCGCGGUAAAACGUAGGGGGCGAGCGUUAUCCGGAAUCACUGGGCGUAAAGGGCGUCUAGGCGGCAGCCUAAGUCCCGUGUGAAAGCUCCCGGCUCAACUGGGAGAGGGCAUGGGAGACUGGGCAGCUAGAGACUCGGAGGGGGGUGUGGAAUUCCCGGUGGAGUGGUGGAAUGCGUUGAGAUCGGGAGGAACACCAGUAGCGAAGGCGGCACCCUGGCCGAGAUCUGACGCUGAAGCGCGAGAGCGUGGGGAGCGAACGGGAUUAGAUACCCCGGUAGUCCACGCCGUAAACGAUGACAACUAGGUGUUGGGUGUCCAAGGAUGCUCAGUACCGCAGCAAACGCGAUAAG